Molecule: ribosomal RNA, 425 nt
Filed under: Leptodactylus rhodomystax group sp. ABGD cluster 81
Lineage: Eukaryota; Metazoa; Chordata; Amphibia; Anura; Leptodactylidae
Description: partial large subunit ribosomal RNA
Rfam family: Bacterial large subunit ribosomal RNA
Source: RNAcentral
CUUGGACAAACAUAAGAGGUCCAGCCUGCCCAGUGACUCUGUUCAACGGCCGCGGUAUCCUAACCGUGCGAAGGUAGCGUAAUCACUUGUUCUUUAAAUGAGGACUAGUAUGAAUGGCACCACGAAGGUUACACUGUCUCCUUUAUCUAAUCAGUGAAACUAAUCUUCCCGUGAAGAAGCGGGAAUAAAAAUAUAAGACGAGAAGACCCUAUGGAGCUUUAAACACACUGAUAAUUGCCUUCCUCACUCUACUUCCAGAAAAACAACUAAAAUUCAGGCACUGUAAUCACAAGUUUUAGGUUGGGGUGACCACGGAGCACAACAAAACCUCCGUAAUGAACGGGAGUUUUCCCCUAAACCAAGGGCUACAGCCCAAGAAAUCAAUAAAUUGACAUAUAUUGACCCAAUACAUUUGACCAAUGAAC